UAAUUUUAAGAUUAAAAAGUCAAAGUUAUGCUAUCUGUUACUAUAUCUUCAUUGCGAACUGUACCUUACAUACAUACUUAGACUGUACCUUUGGGAAAUCUGCAUGUCCCUUUUUAAUUUCUGAACUUAGGAAAUUAAGUCUACAAUUUUGCUGAGCGAGCUGCACAUUCACCUUUUCUUAAUUACAUAUCUUUCAAGUAACUUCCUUACGAACUGUCUAUGGCAGAUUAUAUGCCUACCAUGGUCAUAAAAGGCCACGGGGAAUCAGGAUACGAUUAUGGAAAGGGAACUCGAGAAAUGGCAACCAUAUCCAAGAAAGCUAGCAGGCACAAAUUACCCACUCCCUGAAUAGAAAGGUGUUGACAAAAAAUAGCAAUAAUGGACUAUUUCGAGACCCUAUAACAGGAAUGAGUACACACAAAAUCUUUAAACAAGGAUCAACUGGAGUAUAAGAUCUAGUGUCAGCACCUGUGGUAAUUCCAGCUCCAAU
Molecule: non-coding RNA, 490 nt
Filed under: Stegodyphus mimosarum
Lineage: Eukaryota; Metazoa; Arthropoda; Arachnida; Araneae; Eresidae
Description: Eukaryotic small subunit ribosomal RNA
Rfam family: Eukaryotic small subunit ribosomal RNA
Source: Rfam by way of RNAcentral